UAGAAAAUUUCAGCCCCUCUUUUUGCCAAAAAUAGCCUUAUGCGUGUUUCCACGCGUUUCUCUCAUUUAUGCAAACUACCAUCUCUCUUGCGUUUCCAACUUCUCUUCUACAUCAAUCCAUCCGUUUUUAUUUUCUUUCAAUCACUGUAUCUCUUCUCCGGCGACGUUUCAUUUUUCGCCGUUGUUUCUAUUUCUCACAGUCACCAAGAAUUUUCAUCUUCUUUUACGGUAUGGAGUUGGUUCUUUUAAGAGUCUGUCGGUUUAGUUUCAUCCGCGUUUUUCCGGAGUUUUCUUGAGUCUAAUGAAAUCUUAGGUCGAUUUUGUUUGUUUUUGUUCUCCUAGUCACCGUCGUUGGUUUUAAAUCUACAGUUUCUCCGUCGUUUGCAAAAAAAACCGGCCAUUCUAUAUUAGUCGUUUCUUUUUCCCAGAUCGUGGACAUUCACAAAUCAGCAUAGAUCGAUACUUUUUGUGUUGGACAUUCACAAAUGAGCAUAGAUGACCAUGGCGGAUCUAGACCUUCCUGCUAGAUUAUUCGCCGAUCGAGAAGAAUAUGUGGGUGAGCGUGUUAACCAGUACUUCAAGCUCCACAUGAUUAAAGUUGUCCAGAAGGCUUUACAACCGACGAAGCUUGAAUUGAUUCGGCCGUGUUUUGGGAAAUUCCUCGAUUCACAUCGCCAUUGUUUAUUCAUCGGAAAAAGAUAACUUUUACGAUACAAAUAAGGAUGUAAAACAUUUUUUGGAUCUUCACAAAUAGAUCUACAAAGUAUAGAUGCAGAUCUAAGGAUAUUUGUGGAAAUGGGUCAAGAUUUAGAGAAAUACACUAUAAUACCAAACAAGAAAUUUUAGAGUGAAAGGAAGAA
Arabidopsis lyrata subsp. lyrata is the source of this 860-nucleotide long non-coding RNA. RefSeq lists it as uncharacterized. The record is from RefSeq and is a predicted model, not a curated record. The transcript is spliced from 2 exons. Lineage: Eukaryota; Viridiplantae; Streptophyta; Magnoliopsida; Brassicales; Brassicaceae.